GUGUGUGUUUACCCUGGGGUGUCUGUGUUUACCGUGUGUGUGUUUACCAUGGGGUGCCAGUGUGGUGUAUCCUGUCUGUGGGACGCUCCAGGGGCUCCACUCGGUACGUCCCUCCCCCCGGGCACACACCCUGAACAGAUGAUCAGUGUGGGGGUCCAGGUGUAGGACCAGGAACUCCUGCUCCGGCCCGAUGUAGGUAUCCUCGUACUGACCAGACACUGAGCGACGAUACUGCAGGCGGUAGUCCUGCACCGCAAACUCAUCAUCCACCUAGAGAGACAGAUGUUAUGAAACACACCCCACAGGACAGUGUACUAGUUAAUAUCAGUAUCAUAACACCCCACAGGACAGUAGUUAAUAUCAGUAUCAUAACACCCCACAGGACAUUAGUUAAUAUCAGUAUCAUAACACCCCACAGGACAGUGUACUAGUUAAUAUCAGUAUCAUAACACCCCACAGGACAGUGUACUAGUUAAUAUCAGUAUCAUAACACCCCACAGGACAGUGUACUAGUUA
Molecule: long non-coding RNA, 516 nt
Filed under: Salmo salar (Atlantic salmon)
Lineage: Eukaryota; Metazoa; Chordata; Actinopteri; Salmoniformes; Salmonidae
Description: lncRNA (ENSSSAG00000099705.1, ENSSSAG00000100920.1)
Source: RNAcentral